RNAcentral lists this ribosomal RNA (253 nucleotides) under uncultured bacterium. RNAcentral's name for it is "partial 16S ribosomal RNA". It matches the Rfam family "Bacterial small subunit ribosomal RNA", at positions 524 to 776 of the family's 1533-position model. The record is from RNAcentral. RNAcentral also lists the same sequence under 1 other name.
UACGGAGGGUGCAAGCGUUAUCCGGAUUUAUUGGGUUUAAAGGGUGCGUAGGCGGUUAUUUAAGUCAGUGGUGAAAGUUUUCGGCUCAACCGGAAAAUUGCCAUUGAUACUGGGUAGCUAGAAUAUGGUUGCUGUGAGUAGAAUGUGUGGUGUAGCGGUGAAAUGCAUAGAUAUCACACAGAAUACCGAUUGCGAAGGCAUCUCACAAAGCCAUCAUUGACGCUGAGGCACGAAAGUGUGGGGAUCAAACAGG